RNAcentral lists this ribosomal RNA (851 nucleotides) under uncultured bacterium. Its description in RNAcentral is "bacterial SSU rRNA". It matches the Rfam family "Bacterial small subunit ribosomal RNA", at positions 74 to 923 of the family's 1533-position model. The record is from RNAcentral.
GGGGGCUUGCUCCCGGGUUAGUGGCGAACGGGUGAGUAAUAUAUCGGAACAUAUCCGGAAGUGGGGGAUAACGUAGCGAAAGUUACGCUAAUACCGCAUAUGCCCUGAGGGGGAAAGGGGGGGAUCGCAAGACCUCUCGCUUUCGGAGUGGCCGAUACCGGAUUAGCUAGAUGGUGAGGUAAAGGCUCACCAUGGCGACGAUCCGUAGCUGGUCUGAGAGGACGACCAGCCACACUGGAACUGAGACACGGUCCAGACUCCUACGGGAGGCAGCAGUGGGGAAUUUUGGACAAUGGGCGAAAGCCUGAUCCAGCCAUACCGCGUGAGUGAAGAAGGCCUUCGGGUUGUAAAGCUCUUUCAGCCGGAAAGAAAUCGCACUUUUUAAUACGGAGUGUGGAUGACGGUACCGGAAGAAGAAGCACCGGCUAACUACGUGCCAGCAGCCGCGGUAAUACGUAGGGUGCGAGCGUUAAUCGGAAUUACUGGGCGUAAAGCGUGCGCAGGCGGUUUGAUAGGCCAGAUGUGAAAUCCCCGGGCUUAACCUGGGAACUGCAUUUGGAACUGUCAGACUAGAGUGUAGCAGAGGGGGGUAGAAUUCCACGUGUAGCAGUGAAAUGCGUAGAUAUGUGGAGGAAUACCAAUGGCGAAAGCAGCCCCCUGGGUUAACACUGACGCUCAUGCACGAAAGCGUGGGGAGCAAACAGGAUUAGAUACCCUGGUAGUCCACACCCUAAACGAUGUCAACUAGUUGUUGGGGGAGAGACUUCCUUAGUAACGCAGCUAACGCGUGAAGUUGACCGCUGGGGAGUACGUUCGCAAGAUUUAAACUCAAAGGAAUUGACGGGGACCCG